This 366-nucleotide ribosomal RNA is filed under the name uncultured eukaryote. Its description in RNAcentral is "partial 18S ribosomal RNA". It matches the Rfam family "Eukaryotic small subunit ribosomal RNA", at positions 592 to 976 of the family's 1831-position model. The record is from RNAcentral.
CAAUAGCGUAUAUUAAAGUUGUUGCGGUUAAAAAGCUCGUAGUUGGAUUUCUGGAGGGAGCGUCGGCCCGUAUUUACGAGUGCGUGACGUCUCUGUCCAUCCUUGCGGGAAGGCACGGCAUUGAUUUGUUGUGUCGGAUCGCAUCAUUUACUGUGAAAAAAUUAGAGUGUUCAAAGCAGGCUUUCGCUUGAAUACAUUAGCAUGGAAUAAUAAGAUAGGACUUUGGUGCUGUUUUGUUGGUUGAGCCUAAAGUAAUGAUUAAUAGGGAUAGUUGGGGGCACCUGUAUUGCGUUGUCAGAGGUGAAAUUCUUGGAUUUACGCAAGACAAACAGCUGCGAAAGCGUCUGCCAAGGAUGUUUUCAUUAA